CAGGGAGACAACAAAAUGUUAAAUAUUAAUUUUGUCACCUUAGGUCGAUCGGUAUCUCACAUUCUUAAUUUUUAAGGAUUUUAUUUCCUAAGCUUUUUUCUAGGUCACACCCAUUACUUUUCCUGGGCCAUUAGCUCAGGUGGUUAGAGCGCACCCCUGAUAAGGGUGAGGUCCCUGGUUCAAGUCCAGGAUGGCCCAUAUCUCUAUGUUGGGGGUAUAGCUCAGUUGGUAGAGCGCCUGCUUUGCAAGCAGGAUGUCAGCGGUUCGAGUCCGCUUACCUCCACUGAUCACCACCUCUUCCAUAAUUUAAGAAGGGAAACGUUUUGAGUAGUGAUCAAAUUCUGAACGAAUCUAGCUUCCUAAUUAUCUUUAUUAAGAUGCUGGACUCAUUGAAUUAAAUUCAUUGUUUUCAGAGAACCUUGACAACUGCAUAGAUUAUUUUUAAAGACAAUAAGCAUCUUUAGUGAUGCAGAUUUAUUAUUUGUGCGAAUGCAUUAAUAACAAUUCUAUUAAGCUGAUGCUUCAAUUUCUGAAGUUAUU
Molecule: transfer RNA, 540 nt
Filed under: uncultured cyanobacterium
Lineage: Bacteria; Bacillati; Cyanobacteriota
Description: partial miscellaneous RNA
Rfam family: tRNA (bases 211-283)
Source: RNAcentral